CGAGUGGCGAACGGGUGAGUAACGCGUGAGGAACCUGCCUCAAGGAGGGGAACAACAGUUGGAAACGACUGCUAAUACCGCAUAAGCCCACGACCCGGCAUCGGGUAGAGGGAAAAGGAGCAAUCCGCUUUGAGAUGGCCUCGCGUCCGAUUAGCUAGUUGGUGAGGUAACGGCCCACCAAGGCAACGAUCGGUAGCCGGACUGAGAGGUUGAACGGCCACAUUGGGACUGAGACACGGCCCAG
Molecule: ribosomal RNA, 244 nt
Filed under: uncultured bacterium
Lineage: Bacteria
Description: partial 16S ribosomal RNA
Rfam family: Bacterial small subunit ribosomal RNA
Source: RNAcentral